AACGUAGGAGGCAAGCGUUAUCCGGAGUUACUGGGCGUAAAGCGCAUGUAGGCGGUUUCUCAAGUGGCGUGUGAAAGCGCCCGGCUAAACUGGGCGAGGACACGUCAGACUGAGAGGCUAGAGGGGGCUAGAGGGGCGCAGAAUUCGGGGUGUAGCGGUGAAAUGUGUAGAGAUCCCGAGGAAUACCAGUGGAGAAGUCGGCGCCCUGGGGCCUUAGUCGAAAGACUUUAACUGACGCUGAGAUGCGAAAGCGUGGGGAGCGAACGGG
This 268-nucleotide ribosomal RNA is filed under the name uncultured bacterium. RNAcentral describes it as "partial 16S ribosomal RNA". It matches the Rfam family "Bacterial small subunit ribosomal RNA", at positions 524 to 776 of the family's 1533-position model. The record is from RNAcentral.